RNAcentral lists this ribosomal RNA (253 nucleotides) under uncultured bacterium. Its description in RNAcentral is "partial 16S ribosomal RNA". It matches the Rfam family "Bacterial small subunit ribosomal RNA", at positions 524 to 776 of the family's 1533-position model. The record is from RNAcentral.
UACGGAGGGUGCAAGCGUUAUCCGGAAUCACUGGGUUUAAAGGGUGCGUAGGCUGUUUGAUAAGUCUGUCGUGAAAUACCUAGGCUUAACCAAGGAAUUGCGAUGGAAACUGUUGGACUUGAAUGAUGAUGAGGUUGGCGGAAUGUGACAUGUAGCGGUGAAAUGCUUAGAUAUGUCAUAGAACACCGAUUGCGAAGGCAGCUAACCAAUCAUGAAUUGACGCUGAGGCACGAAAGUGUGGGGAGCAAACAGG